Molecule: long non-coding RNA, 736 nt
Filed under: Nicotiana tabacum (common tobacco)
Lineage: Eukaryota; Viridiplantae; Streptophyta; Magnoliopsida; Solanales; Solanaceae
Description: long non-coding RNA (NTAB_LNC017358)
Source: RNAcentral
GCUAGGCUUGCAUGUUCUGCAAACUCAGCCGCUGCUUGAGCAGCAGAGGUAGCAUCCUUAAAUUUCAUGUUCCAAUUCUGCCUGCCAGCAGAAACAUAACUAUCACCAUCUCCAGGAAAUGAUUGCCCAUGUUCCAACAUUUCAUCCUUGAAACCUAUGUGGUAUGAACCACCGUCAUUAUGAACCACCAUUAUUAACACAAUAUUGCCUUGAAAGUUCUACAACAGCUCUGGCGCUAGGCUUGCAUAUUCUGCAAACUCAGUCGCUUCUUCAGCAAUAGAGGUAGUAUCCUUAAAUUUCAUAUUCCACUUCUACCUGCCAACAGAAAUAUUACCAUUACCAUCUCCAGGAAAUUACCUAGGUGGCGUGAACCACCACUAUCAACACAAUAUUGCCCUGAAAGUUCUGCAAUAGCUCUUGCACCUAGGAUUGCAUAUUCUGCAAACUUAGCCCCCGCUUGAGUAGCAGAGGUAGCAUCCUUAAAUUUCAUGUUCCAAUUCUGCCUUCCAACAAAAACAUUACCUUUUCCAUCUCCAGGAAAUGAUUGCCCAUGUUCCAACCUUUCAUCCUUGAAACCUAAGUGGCAUGAACCACCAUCAUCAAUACAAUAUUGCCUUGAAAGUCCUACAACAGCUCUGGCAGCUAGGCUUGCAUAUUCUGCAAACGCAGCCGCUGCUUGAGUAGCAGAGGUAGCAUCCUUAAAUUUUAUGUUCCAAUUCUGCCUGCUAACCAAAAC